GUCCAGACUCCUACGGGAGGCAGCAGUGGGGAAUAUUGCACAAUGGGGGGAACCCUGAUGCGGCGACGCCGCGUGGGUGAAGGAGUACUUCGGUACGUAAAGCCCUAUCAGCAGGAAAGAAAAUGACGGUACCUGACUAAGAAGCCCCGGCUAACUACGUGCCAGCAGCCGCGGUAAUACGUAGGGGGCAAGCGUUAUCCGGAUUUACUGGGUGUAAAGGGAGCGUAGACGGCAGUGCAAGUCCGGAGUGAAAGCCCGGGGCCCAACCCCGGGACUGCUCUUGGAACUGCGCGGCUGGAGUGCAGGAGGGGCAGGCGGAAUUCCUGGUGUAGCGGUGAAAUGCGUAGAUAUUAGGAGGAACACCAGUGGCGAAGGCGGCCUACUGGACGGUGACUGACGCUGAGGCUCGAAGGCGUGGGGAGCAAACAGGAUUAGAUACCCCUGUA
RNAcentral lists this ribosomal RNA (446 nucleotides) under uncultured bacterium. Its description in RNAcentral is "partial 16S ribosomal RNA". It matches the Rfam family "Bacterial small subunit ribosomal RNA", at positions 329 to 792 of the family's 1533-position model. The record is from RNAcentral.